Non-coding RNA from Pelobates cultripes (western spadefoot toad), 259 nucleotides. The record is from the annotation of a GenBank genome assembly. Lineage: Eukaryota; Metazoa; Chordata; Amphibia; Anura; Pelobatidae.
CGGGCACCUACUCCUCCAGAAUGGUAAGUGGGUUUGUCAUAAAGGCUUCUUGUGAAAUGAGGAACCUCUAGACUUUCCUCCUCUGUUGGAUGAAUGUCCACCUCUCCAUGCAAUAGAUCUUCCAUAUUCUCUUCCCGGUUUAUAAGAUCUGGUAUCGCGAAAAGAGGGGUACUCAGAGUAUCUUCUGGCUCGAAAGGAUCCACGGGUUUUCCGGUCUUGUGGAAGAAAGGCUUUUUUACCUUCUGCAGCUCUUUUGAUG